This 414-nucleotide ribosomal RNA is filed under the name uncultured microorganism. Its description in RNAcentral is "bacterial SSU rRNA". It matches the Rfam family "Archaeal small subunit ribosomal RNA", at positions 459 to 872 of the family's 1478-position model. The record is from RNAcentral.
CAGCCGCCGCGGUAAUACCGGCGGCCCGAGUGGCGGUCACUAUUAUUGGGCUUAAAGCGUCCGUAGCCGGGUUGGGAAGUCCUCCGGGAAAUCUGGCCGCUUAACGGUCAGAAUGCCGGAGGAUACUCCCAGCCUAGGGAGCGGGAGAGGCCGAGGGUAUUCCCGGAGUAGGGGUGAAAUCCUAUAAUCCCGGGAGGACCACCUGUGGCGAAGGCGCUCGUCUGGAACGCGUCCGACGGUGAGGGACGAAGGCCAGGGGAGCAAACCGGAUUAGAUACCCGGGUAGUCCUGGCUGUAAACGAUGCGGACUUUGUGUCGGACAAGCUAUGAGCUUGUCCGGUGCCGGAGGGAAACCGUUAAGUCCGCCGCCUGGGGAGUACGGCCGCAAGGUUGAAACUUAAAGGAAUUGGCGGG